This 974-nucleotide long non-coding RNA is filed under the name Homo sapiens (human). Its description in RNAcentral is "HSALNT0285935". The record is from RNAcentral. Lineage: Eukaryota; Metazoa; Chordata; Mammalia; Primates; Hominidae.
GGAAAAAGCAGUUUGAAGCCCAAAGUGAGGAAGUAACACAGCAAUUCUCAAAGCUGGCUAGUUCCUCUGGCAGCCCUUCCCAAGGACCUCUGUGAGACAAAGUCAGAAAUGGCUUUCCUGGGGACCAAGAGAGCCCACAGGGCUCUUCCCCAUGCUUCUUCUACCGCUGUGUUUGGCUCAGCUCUCUAAAAUUGUUUCUGUUCCAGGGCCUGCAGGAGCAAUUCACUUCUUUCAAAGGGUCUAUGGAUUCUCUUGGCUUUCCUGGUAUGUUCCUGUGGUAGUUCUUGGAGCAAAAGUUUACAACGUGAGUCUCCACAUGCUGCUCUGUCUGUCUGAGUGGGGGCUAUAAUGUAGUCCUGUCUCCUAUCUGCCAUUUUGCUAACCCCUCAAAAUUUGUCUUCCUCUUCAUUCAUUUUCAUUGUUCUAUAAUACUUUUUUAUAUGACUAUAUUAUAAUUUGUUCAUUUUUCUGUCAAUAAAUAUUUAAAAUGUUGCUCUGUGAUAUAGUUUGGCUGUGUCCCCACCCAAAUCUCAUCUCGAAUUGUAGCUCCCAUAAUUCCCUUGUAUUAUGGGAGGGACCCAGUUGGAGUUAACUGAAUCGUGGGGCAGUUUCCCCCAUACCGUUCUCGUGGUAGUGAAUAAGUCUCAUGAGAUCUGAUGGUUUUAUAAGGGGAAACCCUUUUCACUUGGCUCUCAUUCUCUUCUUUGUCUGCUGCCAUGUGACAUUUGCCUUUUACCUUCUGCCAUGAUUGUGAGGCCUCCCCAGCCACACAGCGGCGGAUUGUCCGCAGGCGCAGGUGUUCUGGAGAUGAUGCCCUUCCCAGAGCUGGAGGAGAGACUGACCUGCCUAGGGGGUUUGAAGGAAGACUGUGGCUUGGCCUGUGGUGGUCACUGUUGGGAGCCUGUCUGGCUGCAGGACUGCUCCCCACCUGGGCCCUGGACUGUGGGAAGUGACCCCUGCAGCCACGUGGAACU